This 420-nucleotide long non-coding RNA is filed under the name Cicer arietinum (chickpea). RNAcentral describes it as "long non-coding RNA (CARI_LNC002411)". The record is from RNAcentral. Lineage: Eukaryota; Viridiplantae; Streptophyta; Magnoliopsida; Fabales; Fabaceae.
UUUUUUUCAACACACUUUUUAAACAAUUGAAAUUGAAAUUAUCUUUAUUCGCUUGGAGAGAAGACUGGAAUUGAAAUUUUUGACUAAUCAUCACCAUAAACAUGCACACAUGAGGAGUGGCUUUUUGCACUAGCUCGCCAUGUGAGUUGUUUUUCUUCUCAUACCAAUUUCCAUGUUCUCCAAGCAACAACAUCCGUAGCUAGGUGAGCCAGAACAGUAUUAAAGUAAAAAUAACAUAUUUUAAGGUAUUCUUGAACACUAGGGAUUUGAGAAAGACAAACAAAAAACAUUGUGAUGCAUCAUGAUUUUAAAAUAAUUCCUUACAACAAGUGAUUGAUGAUUCAAUGGGUCUCCAUAUGUGUUAUCUCUUUAUCAUUUUUUUAUUUCCUUGAAUAUGAGUAGUUAAGUUCUUUAAAAUAG